AAGACUAUACUUUCAGGGAUCAUUUCUAUAGUUUGUUAUUCAAAGAGUAAGCUGCAUGGAAAUUUGGGAGAAAAGGAAAUAAACAAUAUAGAAACUGGGAUGGGGAGAAGAUAUGUUCCUUGGAGAGGGAUCAGG
Molecule: small nucleolar RNA, 135 nt
Filed under: Erinaceus europaeus (western European hedgehog)
Lineage: Eukaryota; Metazoa; Chordata; Mammalia; Eulipotyphla; Erinaceidae
Description: Small nucleolar RNA U3
Rfam family: Small nucleolar RNA U3
About the family: Small nucleolar RNAs (snoRNAs) are involved in the processing and modification of rRNA in the nucleolus. There are two main classes of snoRNAs: the box C/D class, and the box H/ACA class. U3 snoRNA is a member of the box C/D class.
Source: Rfam by way of RNAcentral